Long non-coding RNA from Gossypium raimondii (Peruvian cotton), 1366 nucleotides. RefSeq lists it as uncharacterized. The record is from RefSeq and is a predicted model, not a curated record. NCBI's taxonomy places the organism in Eukaryota, Viridiplantae, Streptophyta, Magnoliopsida, Malvales, Malvaceae. The transcript is spliced from 2 exons.
UUAUUUGUUUCUUUUUAAGAGAGUGUUAAUUCUUAAGGUUUUGGUAGAAACAUUAAGGGAGCUGUAUCUUAAGAUUUUGAAGCAUAAAUCUUAAGAGAGAUUAUAAGGUUAAACCUUGUCCUCAAAGGUUUCCAAAUUAGUGAAUUUGAGAAAAUCAUUAGUUAUAUUAAGCUAAGGUGGAGUAGGCAAUUGAGGCCAAACCACUGUAAAUCCUUAGAUUCUUUGUUGCAUAUUUUUCAUUUCUUCCACCACAAUUUUUUAAAGGUCAAUUCAACCUCCCUAUUGGCGAUCUCAAGUUGAUCCUUCUAAGCUAACAGAAACUAAAAGUCACUUUGUCCAGUCAAAUUAAUGAACUGCCACCCACCACUUCCCGAAAACACACUAUUUUCCUGUCGGUUGCAGUUCUCCGGAGAUCAUUGAUGCUACGCAGAAACACCAUCUAGCAUUUUCUCCAGUUACUUGAAAUACUCUAAAUCUCUCAGUUGGGUUCCUGCUCCUGUUGCCUUCCCGAUCCCAAUGAAACAACGGCGUAAGGCGGUACAACCCGUUCCAGGCAAAUCUCAUCUUCCCUCUUUAAGCUUUUUGUGGCGAUUAUGUGGGUCGUUUGGUUUGCCCGUCUUGAAAUAUGCCUAAAUCGAAUCUUGGGAAGUCAAUUCUUGUUAUGGUGUAUAUCUCUCUAAUAGAAGCUGCUAUUUUUGAAUUGUCUUCAACAUUGGACUGGCAUUUUUUAAUAAUCGUUAACGCAUCUCCUUCAAUUUCAACUUCAUCCACACCCAUGCCAAUCCCCAACCUAACUGCUUGAGAACAUGCACAAGCCUCCGCGGCAAACGGAGAGGCUAUCCGAUUCUCUAAAAUUGAUUUGGAUACUAAAACUUUCCCCCUAUCAUUUCUAGCCACCAACCUCAAAGCAGAUCUGAAAUGUCGUUGGCUAAAAGCCGCAUCAAAAUUUAUGCGAACGAUUUGGUUCUCUGGGGGUCUCUAUUCAAGAGCAGAAAGGUGUUUGAUAACCCAAAGUGUGUAACAGAACAUUUGACACUGGCUACUCGACCCAUCUUCAAUGACCUAGGUGAGCCACUCCCAAUUCCCCAAAUUGGGUUUAGAUAUCACCCAUGCUAGAUUUAAAUGAGUCCAUACUUCUGUUGAAACAGGGCAUUCCCGAAAUACAUGUGCAGUAGUUUACACACCUACACCACACCUUUGGCAGAUUGUACUCGACCCUAGUCGUCUGUAAUGUAGAUUAACUAGGGUAGGCACAAAGUUCCAAGAGACUUUUCAAGUUGUAAUUUUUUAUUUUGCUGGGAGAUUAAAGCUCCACAAUUUUUUGUAAAAGUGUUUUGCUGGGAGAUUAAACAUAAAUAUUUAAUUA